This 85-nucleotide transfer RNA is filed under the name Felis catus (domestic cat). It matches the Rfam family "tRNA". From Rfam's summary of the family: Transfer RNA (tRNA) molecules are approximately 80 nucleotides in length. Their secondary structure includes four short double-helical elements and three loops (D, anti-codon, and T loops). Further hydrogen bonds mediate the characteristic L-shaped molecular structure. tRNAs have two regions of fundamental functional importance: the anti-codon, which is responsible for specific mRNA codon recognition, and the 3' end, to which the tRNAs corresponding amino acid is attached (by aminoacyl-tRNA synthetases). tRNAs cope with the degeneracy of the genetic code in two manners: having more than one tRNA (with a specific anti-codon) for a particular amino acid; and 'wobble' base-pairing, i.e. permitting non-standard base-pairing at the 3rd anti-codon position. Lineage: Eukaryota; Metazoa; Chordata; Mammalia; Carnivora; Felidae. The record is from Rfam by way of RNAcentral.
UCCUGGAUGGCUCAGUCAGUUAAGCCUCUGACUUUGGCUCAGGUUAUGAUCUCACGGUUUGUGGGUUCGAGCCCCACUUCGGGCU